UAAUGCUCCAUAGUGGAUAUGUCCUGGAAUGGUAUAUCCUCGAAAGAUCCGUCGCCUUAGGAUGGGACUGCGUCCGAUUAGGUUGUUGGCGGGGUAACGGCCCACCAAGCCAUUGAUCGGUACGGGUUGUGGGAGCAAGAUCCCGGAGAUGGAUUCUGAGACAUGAAUCCAGGCCCUACGGGGCGCAGCAGGCGCGCAGACUUUACAAUGCGAGCAAUCGUGAUAAGGAAACCCUGAGUGCCUGUCGAUGCAGGCUGUUCAUAUAUCUAAAUCAUAUGUGAAGAAAGGGCAGGGCAAGACCGGUGCCAGCCGCCGCGGUAAUACCGGCUGCUCGAGUGAUGGCCACUAUUACUGGGUUUAAAGCGUCCGUAGCUUGACUGUUAGGUCUCUUGGGAAAUCUUCACGCUCAACGUGAAGGCGUCUAAGAGAUACCGGCAGUCUUGGAACUGGGAGAGGUAAACCGUACUUCGGGGGUAGGAGUGAAAUCUUGUAAUCCUCGAGGGACGACCUAUGGCGAAGGCAGUUUACCAGAACAGCUUCGACAGUGAGGGACGAAAGCUGGGGGAGCAAACGGGAUUAGAUACCCCGGUAGUCCCAGCCGUAAACAAUGUGCGUUAGGUGU
Molecule: ribosomal RNA, 622 nt
Filed under: uncultured archaeon
Lineage: Archaea
Description: bacterial SSU rRNA
Rfam family: Archaeal small subunit ribosomal RNA
Source: RNAcentral